This 253-nucleotide ribosomal RNA is filed under the name uncultured bacterium. RNAcentral describes it as "partial 16S ribosomal RNA". It matches the Rfam family "Bacterial small subunit ribosomal RNA", at positions 524 to 776 of the family's 1533-position model. The record is from RNAcentral.
UACAGAGGUCUCAAGCGUUGUUCGGAUUCAUUGGGCGUAAAGGGUGCGUAGGUGGUGAGGUAAGUCGGAUGUGAAAGCUCGGAGCUCAACUCCGAAAUGGCAUUGGAAACUACCUCGCUAGAGGAUCGGAGGGGAGACUGGAAUUCUCGGUGUAGCAGUGAAAUGCGUAGAUAUCGAGAGGAACACCAGUGGCGAAGGCGAGUCUCUGGACGAUUCCUGACGCUGAGGCACGAAAGCCAGGGGAGCAAACGGG